Molecule: microRNA precursor, 127 nt
Filed under: Podarcis lilfordi (Lilford's wall lizard)
Lineage: Eukaryota; Metazoa; Chordata; Lepidosauria; Squamata; Lacertidae
Source: RNAcentral
GCUGAGUGGGGAGGAGAGAGGGACAGAGAGCCUGCUUCUUUAAAGGAGCAAAGCGGGAGAGGAGAGGAGUCCAGUUGGCUCCUUUAAUGCAAGCAGGCUCUCUGUCCCUCUCUCCUCCCCACUCAGC